This is a long non-coding RNA of Gallus gallus (chicken), 2610 nucleotides long. The record is from Ensembl. Lineage: Eukaryota; Metazoa; Chordata; Aves; Galliformes; Phasianidae.
UGGUCUGUUCAUGCUAUUCUUAGGCACUGCUGGUUGCCAUCUAGAGACCCACCAGCAUUGUGAUAUCUUGUUUAGAUAACAUCUUUUGUGGAAAAUUAAAAAAAAAAAGAAGGUUACUAGGAUGAUCAGGAAAGAUUUGGGUGAGUUGGGAAAUGAUUGCAGUCUACAGAAGCCUAAAAUCCUAUUGACUUUCAGAUGCCAGAAAGGCCUGCUCAUGUCUGCAAGAUGAGUUUCUCAUGGCUCUGUGAUGAUAAUGUGUUGAUCCUUAUCCAGCAUGAGCUAUCUACAUCAUCUUCCUUGACUGCUAAGCUCUCAGAGCAAACACUGCUGCUGAGGAACAAAAGUAAGGUUUUCAGACUCGUUUUGGGAAGAAUCUUUCUCAUCCACCACUGCAAGCUGUAGAGGAAAUCGAGUUCACCAACAAGUGUCUUCAUCCUGCUCUGGAGCAGAAGAAAACCGUGAUUACCUGGCAGCCAUUAGUUUACCUGUAGUGGGAGGCACCAUCAAUUUCCAUCAAUUUUACUGCUGCAAAAAUAAUGUGCUGCUGUAGUUCUUCCAAAGGUCAAUUUCUGCAUGAGAGCCCCAUCGCUCCACAGCAUCGCUCCUAACUUUUGUCAUGCUGCAAUGAAGCAUCCCUGGAGUUCUGCAAUGGUUCCUAUGUGGCUGGAGUGGCUUUCUUAUUUCAACCUCUUGAGCAUCGAUUGUUGAGUCGCUUCCUCAUCAUUAAAAGCUCGUCAGGGACAAGCUCUGGAGUUCAGAAGCUCUGUGCAGUCACCACGGCCUUCGGAUGCCCCAAGGGCACCAGCAGAGAGGAACGAGUGUGGCGAGAGCGCAGGCAGCUGUGAGCACACUGCAAUGUCAUUGCUGAUAUCUUCUCUGUGUUUUUAAAUACCAGUACAACAAAUGCCAGCACUGAACCAGAGGGAAAACUGAUGGCAUUCGGGGAUCACUGAAUGGAGGACUGGGCAUUCAGAGCUUCAUACUGCCCAGCAGUGAGAAGCAGACAUACGCUUUGCUGAUCUCAUGUACUCCUCCACCAUAAAAAGCUGCUCGCAGUUACAGUGAUGUUUCUAGAAGAGGAAACUUCAGGGUUGAGUUUCUCCUUUAGACGGUGCAAGUGCUCCCUGUAUUCUAUUCUUCAACCAUACAAAUGCUUAUAAAAUAGAAAUGUGAAUUGCCUCGGUGCUUUUAAAUACCUUAAAAAUAAUAAUUCAGGGACUCCUGUAUGAGAUGGAGCUGUCCCUCACUGCUUUAACCUGUGGAGUAGGUUAGCAUAACAUGGAAUCAAUUAUUGUACUAGACAUAUAAAACUGUCAGGUUUAAUACUUAACUGUAGUAUUUGCCUUGAAUGCUUGAUUUCCAGUCAUGUGUGAAGCUCCAGAAAGACAGAGAUAUCAGACAGAUUUUGGUGGAAGAAAUGACUUUGAGUACCCCGAGUUACAAAGGGAAAUCUGGAUGAGUGAUACACCCUGGGAAAGGAGUCCUUUUUCAAUCAAACACUUCCCAGUCCCUUAAAGUAAAGUAACGCAGAACACAAACUGCAGAACAAAUAUUAAGUUUCUAUUCUGCAUUGCCAUAGUUGAGACACCAUCUCAUUUCUUUCUCAGCUUCUCUGGAACCAGCUCUGCUUUAGCUGGAACAUUCUUCCCAUUCUUUUCCUUCUUUUUUUCUUAUUUCUGUACACAGAAGGAGAGAAUCAAACACAAAAGAUCUGCCUUGACUUUCACAGCUCUUCUAAUGCUUACAACUAAGCUUUAUUAUAUUAUUUAUUAUACACAAUGGAAAUAAUUAUUAUUACAGUCUUUCCUCUGUCAUGUGCUUUAUUACAUGACCUUGUUAUGGCCAAGGUUGCAAUCUGACAGUGUGCACUGCAUCGGUAGCGGUGACUGCUGGCAGGGAGUCCUUGGUUUGGGACUCUAAAACUGAUGGAUUAAACAGCAUUAAGGACAGUGAAGUGCUAAUACUGCGGUAAUGGACACUGUAAUAUUUCAAAAUAGCUCACAAGUAGAACCAAAACAAUCCAUUGGGCCACUCAAAUCAUGCAGGGUCUGGUUGGAAGCUCCUGGCCAUCUGACAGCUUUGGUGUAUUGCUGUAAGUCCAGAAGCACUUGCUACCUGUAGUCCAUAAUAAGUUGGUAACAAAGAGUGAUAACAGUAUGAAGUGGAAGAGAUAUUCAUCUUGGCGUAUUUCAAUCUAGAAGUGACAAUCCUGGAUUGAUUCAUUCUCUGAGGAAUAAACCUCCUCUUACAAAAAAAAAAAAAGAAAAGAAAAAACAAGUUUAAAGAAACCAGGAUUUAUCCUCAAGAUCACCACUCAUUUUCUUUUAGAAAUUACAUUCUAGACAAUAAGAGAUCACAGACCUGUAAAUUGCAUUUUAACUUUCAGGUAACAUACUAGGGCUAUAACAAAAUCUGAGGACUAUUAUCAUAGCAAAAUAACUGUAAUGCUUCAAGGCUGUAAUAACCAUCUCCUUUUUAUCAUCCAUACUACCAUCAGGCCAAGAAACAGUGAAUUUCUUUAACGUUAUUCUGCCAUAACCUUUAACUAUAUGCAUUAUUUCAAACACCUGGAAUAAUACUUUAUAUGGCACAACAGAAUAAUACAUUUGC